UCCGGUGUGGCCAAACGGUAAGGCGCCCGCCUGUUAAGCGGAUGAUUGGAGGUUCGAAUCCUCCCACCGGAG
Transfer RNA from Candidatus Entotheonella sp., 72 nucleotides. It matches the Rfam family "tRNA". From Rfam's summary of the family: Transfer RNA (tRNA) molecules are approximately 80 nucleotides in length. Their secondary structure includes four short double-helical elements and three loops (D, anti-codon, and T loops). The record is from Rfam. Lineage: Bacteria; Pseudomonadati; Candidatus Tectimicrobiota; Candidatus Entotheonellia; Candidatus Entotheonellales; Candidatus Entotheonellaceae.